AAAAAAGAGAUGAGCAGAAAAUAGCCACACUGUCCCCUAAAAGCUGGCUGAGGCUGGCAGGUUCUGCCAGAGUUCUCCUCUGAGAAUAGAAAGAUGGGAAAAGCAGGCAGAGACAGUGUGGGCACUGAGCAGCCAGCGGACCCCUCUGCACCCUGGUUCUCAGCAGAGCCUCCAGGGCUCCAGGCGCCUUACCGAACUUGGAGUAGAAGUAGCACUCGGGCAUCUUGGUCAUGUCAUACUCAUGCAGGAACUCACACUGGUCCCCUUUCUUGCAUAGGCCACGCAGCCAGUGUUUGCACACAACUGUCUUCUCACCACUGAUGUGGCGAAACGGACACAUGCCCCCUGCCGGCAAGAUAGGGACAGGGCGUCAGCAGAGAGGCCACCCUGAGCCUGGGGGACACGGCCUGAAGAAGCUGAGGUACCUUCACUUCCUAACUCCUGGAGCCACCUGAAGGCAUCACGUCCUGGAAAGGGGCAGAGGUCCCCCUCACAGAAGGCAACAUGAUUUGAGACUCCAGGCAUAUCUUGAAGAACAUGCUGAAGAGGAGGCAAAUGAAGAUGUACUAGGAGAUGAAACAGAAGAAGAAACAAACCCCUUGUCAAAUAGGAAGAACCCCCUGAAAAAAACUGUUGAUGUGGCAGCAGAGAAGAAAGUGGUGAAAAUUACAUCUGAAAUACCACAGGCUGAGAGAAUGCAGAAGAGGGCCGAACAAUUCAGUGUACCUGUGAGCUUGGAGAGUAAGAUCAAGUAAAAUCAGGCAGCUAGGUUUGGGAUUUCUUCAGUUCCAACAAAAGUCUGUCAUCUGAACACACCUAUGGUUAACUUGGAUAAGCCGAAGGAAAGAGCUCAAAGAUUUGGUUUGAAUGUGUCUUCAAUCUCCAGAAAGUCUGAAGAUGAUAAGAAACUGAAAAAGAGGAAGGAGCGAUUUGGGAUUGUCACAAGUUCAGCUGGAACUGGAACCACAGAGGAUACAGAGGCAAAGAAGAGGAAAAGAGCAGAGCGCUUUGGCAUUGCCUGAUGAAAGGUUCUUGAUACUUUCUGUUCUCCAGUGUUUUCCACU
RNAcentral lists this long non-coding RNA (1064 nucleotides) under Pan troglodytes (chimpanzee). Its description in RNAcentral is "long non-coding RNA NONPTRT016309". The record is from RNAcentral. Lineage: Eukaryota; Metazoa; Chordata; Mammalia; Primates; Hominidae.